Herpailurus yagouaroundi (jaguarundi) is the source of this 125-nucleotide long non-coding RNA. RefSeq lists it as uncharacterized. The transcript is spliced from 3 exons. NCBI's taxonomy places the organism in Eukaryota, Metazoa, Chordata, Mammalia, Carnivora, Felidae. The record is from RefSeq and is a predicted model, not a curated record.
GGAAUGGUGAGAUACAAACAAAGCAAACUGAAGCUGGGUAGUGGAGGUUAAAACACUAUCCUACCUACUUUUGCCCAUAAGACAUUCAAAACAAAGCAAAACAAACAAAACGGAAGAGCACAAGU